AAGGUUGGCGCGGGGAAGACCGGCGGGAGGCGCGCCCCGGGCCCGCGGCGCGAUCGGCGUGACCGGCAAUGGCCGGUGAGCGGACCCGCAGGUUCACCCGGAGUCUGUUGAGACCUGGGCAGGCGGCCGAGCUCCGGCACAGCGCCGCGUCCGCCGCCGCGGUGGCCGUCAGCAGCCGGCAGCAGCAGCGGCAAGAAAAGCCUAGGCUUCUCGAGCCUUUGGAUUAUGAGACUGUCAUUGAAGAACUUGAAAAGUCCUACCGGAAUGAUCCUCUUCAAGAUCUCCUAUUCUUCCCGAGUGAUGACUUUUCAGCAGCCACAGUUUCCUGGGAUAUCCACACGUUGUACUCAACAGUACCUGAAGAUGCAGAGCACAAAGCAGAAAAUUUACUGGUGAAGGAGGCUUGUAAAUUUUAUAGUUCCCAGUGGCAUGUGGUAAACUACAAAUAUGAACAAUAUUCUGGAGACAUUCGACAGCUACCCCGAGCAGAAUACAAACCAGAGAAGCUUCCUUCACAUUCCUUUGAGAUUGACCAUGAAGAUGCUGAUAAGGAUGAAGAUACCACUUCCCACUCAUCUUCCAAGGGGGGUGGAGGAGCGGGAGGAACUGGUGUUUUCAAGUCCGGCUGGCUCUACAAGGGGAAUUUUAACAGCACCGUGAACAACACCGUUACUGUUCGGUCAUUCAAAAAGCGCUACUUCCAGCUGACUCAGUUGCCAGAUAACUCCUACAUUAUGAAUUUUUACAAAGAUGAGAAAAUAUCCAAAGAACCCAAAGGAUGCAUCUUUUUGGAUUCCUGCACAGGAGUGGUGCAGAAUAACAGACUAAGAAAAUAUGCCUUUGAAUUGAAAAUGAAUGACCUGACCUAUUUUGUGCUGGCAGCUGAAACAGAGUCAGAUAUGGAUGAGUGGAUCCACACCCUCAACCGCAUUCUGCAAAUCAGUCCUGAGGGGCCCCUCCAAGGGAGGAGGAGCACAGAGCUCACUGAUCUGGGUCUGGAUUCGCUGGAUAAUUCUGUAACUUGUGAAUGCAUGCCAGAGGAAAUAGAUUCUUCAGAGAACAACCUACACCCAGACUUUGCAAAGUACCUCACAGAAACAGAAGAUACUGUAAAAACAACUCGAAACAUGGAGAGGCUAAAUCUGUUCUCUCUAGAUCCAGACAUAGAUACCUUGAAACUUCAAAAAAAAGAUCUCUUGGAACCUGAGUCUGUGAUCAAACCAUUUGAAGAAAAAGCUGCCAAGAGAAUCAUGAUCAUCUGUAAAGCCCUCAACUUAAAUCUUCAGGGAUGUGUUACGGAGAAUGAAAAUGAUCCGAUAACGAAUAUUGAGCCUUUUUUUGUGAGUGUGGCACUUUAUGACCUCAGAGAUAGCAGGAAGAUUUCUGCUGAUUUUCACGUGGAUCUAAACCAUGCUGCUGUCAGACAGAUGCUCUUGGGGGCUUCUGUGGCUUUGGAAAAUGGCAACAUCGACACCAUCACUCCAAGACAAUCAGAAGAACCUCACAUCAAGGGACUUCCAGAGGAAUGGCUAAAAUUUCCAAAGCAGGCUGUAUUUUCUGUAAGCAAUCCACAUUCUGAAAUUGUUUUGGUGGCCAAAAUCGAAAAAGUCUUGAUGGGAAACAUUGCAAGUGGUGCCGAACCUUAUAUUAAGAACCCAGACUCCAACAAGUAUGCACAAAAGAUACUAAAAUCCAACAGACAGUUCUGCAGCAAAUUGGGAAAAUACCGUAUGCCUUUUGCUUGGGCAGUAAGGUAUGUUGACAGUUGCAACCAACAGACUAGAAAUACAUUUAAUGGUGGCAUUGGAAGCUUCAGUUUUGAACGUUUUUGUGUUGCCUAUUAUUUUUAAUGUGUCUACACCUAGAAAAUGCUAAUAUGGUCAUCUUCAUAAGCAUCUUGAGUUUCUCUGAGACAUACAUUUCACAAGACAGUUUAGCAAUACAGUUUAUAAUAGAGGGCCGUGACACAUGUACUGUGCGUGCAUGACCAGAUAUGCUAUGGGUUCUUGGUAGAUAUCAAAUCAAUGUCAUAAAUUGUUUAUUAUGUAUAUUUGACUUAACAAACCUUUGACAUUAUGUCAGUCCUGAGAGUCUGGUGUGCCUAAAAUUCAGAUAGAUCCACUAUGAUUUCUUAUGCAGCUGCUUGUUUUCAUCUAUGCGUAGAGCUCAGGUCUGUAUAUGGACGUCCAAAUGAAACCAUCAAACCAAUCAUUUAAACUCAUUUUGAUUUUGAUACUGUUUAGCCUAGCCAAAUUUAUCAGUACCAGUUGCCUCUCUGAAAGAAAGGCUGAGUUCUGUGGACAUAGAUGGACACAUCAUUCACUUGGAUGCAUAACCUCUUCAUGAAGAACCAUAAUUACUUUUCAGAACUGUUUAAUCAUCAAUUAUUAUUGUCCUCACCAAUCUCUUUACAUCUUUAUUAGUAUAAGAAUUUCUUAAGUGAGGAAGAGCCUGGCAUAGACUCAUAAGGCUAAAAGGUCAUCAAUGUACACAUUGAAUGAACUAAGAAAGGUUAGAGCUACUGGCCGGGCAUGGUAGCUCACGCCUGUAAUCCCAGCACUUUGGGAGGCCAAAACAGGCGGAUCCUGAGGUCAGGAGUUCGAGACCAGCCUGGCCAACAUGGUGAAGCUCCGUCUCUACUAAAAAUACAAAAAUUAGUCAGGUGUGGUGGCAAAUAAGACAGCCCAUCAAGUAUUCAUUUGAACUUUGGUAACAUUAUCUCAAUGUAUCCAACUUUAGAAUCCAGAAGGAAGAGAGAACCUGUUAAUAAUGCCAUUUUUAAGUCUCACAGUUCCUAGUGAUGUAUAUUCAGAGUAACCUCACCAAUAUUUGUCAUAAUUUUGAGGUUGUUAUUUAAAGUUGGAGAUGAGGAGGUGUAGGAAGGAGAAAUGUGGAAGUUUAGGCAGCAGUAAAUCAAGAUAGAUUCAUGCAGUCUCCAGGAAUUAGUUUGCCCUAAGGCAGCGUCAUAGCAAGGGAAGGAGAGUCCAGGCCUGGGAGUCUAAUAAACGUUGCAGAUCAGGCCACUACUUACUGUGACUUGGAACAAGUUUCUUCUCCAAGUCUCUGGGUCCCCAGCUAUAAAUUGAAGCUGGCAAUGCCUGCGUUAUGAGCAGUAUGUGCAAUCUCAAGUGUAGAAGCAUUUGGUGUAAAAUAGCUCAUGGAUAGUACUUUAUCCUCCCUUUUCUAUCUCUUUCUAUAGGAACAACUAAUGCCAGGACAUUCUGCAUGAAAAAGAUGGUAUUUAGAUUUACAGAACCCUUUAUAAUGAAUUUGUUUUUCUCAUAAACUUUAAGACAAAGGCUAACUAAUUAUAAUUCACUGAUUAAACAUUUUUGGUAUUGUUAAGCAUUCUCAGUUCCCUCCAGAAAACCUACUGGGGCAAGUAGAGGCAAGAUGUCUGUUGUGAAAUAUUCCAGUAUAACAAAAUUACAAUAGUGCACACAUUUUUCACUUUAAGGAUCCAACAUUGCUCUGAGGUUUUAGAAACAGGCAUUUUAGAACCAGACAGAGCUGAGCUCAAAAUCCUAACUCUGGCCAGGCAUGGUGGGCCAUGCCUAUAAUCCCAACUCUUUAGGAGGCCAAGGUCUAAUGGAGGUUCGCUUAAGGCCAGGAGUUCUAGACCAGCCUGGGCAACAUAGUGAGACCCAAUCUCUAAAGAAAACUUUUAAAAAAUUAACCAAGGGUGGUAGCAUACACCUGUAGUCCUAGCUACUCAGGAGGCUGAAAUGGGAGUAUCAGAAUCAUCAGAGAUGAGCCCAGAAGCUGGAAGUUGCAGUGAACUAUGAUAGCACCACUGCACUCCAGCCUGGGCAACAGAGUAAGACCCUGUCUCU
This 3833-nucleotide small RNA is filed under the name Pongo abelii (Sumatran orangutan). Its description in RNAcentral is "retained intron". Lineage: Eukaryota; Metazoa; Chordata; Mammalia; Primates; Hominidae. The record is from RNAcentral.